GAACAGUGUGAAAAAUGUAGUUUUAUUAAUCCAUAUAUUCAAAUGUUUUUAUGGUUUACUUCAUUUUUCCAGGGUUGCGUACAGUUGUGAACUGAAGAAGAGAAGCUACAUGGAAAGUUUCCUGACUGGUAUUGUGAACUUUAUGGUGAAUAAAUGAGGAGGUCCUUAUAUGGCACAACAGGACAAAUGAAGUGAUGUUAUGGAAACAAUGUAUUUACAUUGCAUAAUGAGCCAUGAUGCAAUAAGUUCCUUCAUACAAAGGGGCCUCUAGAGAAGUCUGCCCAGUACAGGAUGCUGAGGACCGUGGAAGGACUUCACAGUCAUGGCCAGAGAUGUCACAGUUUCCUACUAGCAAGAGGCUGUUUGCAAGAAGCAAAAUCUCAUGCAUAUUUUAUGUUCAACAUGAGGCUGACUCAACUAUGCUAGAGGUGAAGAGAUGUCUGAGCUGUUUCUCUGUGUGACAAAUUUGGAAAUGGAAAUGGAGCAUCUACACAGGAAACUGGGCAUGAAAAGCAACUUCACACUAUCAAAAAAGACUACCCACCUUGAUCUUGCCAGUAUUUACUCUGACUAUUGAAUGAACAACUCAAGGAACAGAGAAGCUGAGACUUUAGUUCUGCUGCUGCUU
Molecule: long non-coding RNA, 628 nt
Filed under: Dromaius novaehollandiae (emu)
Lineage: Eukaryota; Metazoa; Chordata; Aves; Casuariiformes; Dromaiidae
Description: lncRNA (ENSDNVG00000007503.1)
Source: RNAcentral